This 466-nucleotide ribosomal RNA is filed under the name uncultured bacterium. RNAcentral describes it as "partial 16S ribosomal RNA". It matches the Rfam family "Bacterial small subunit ribosomal RNA", at positions 28 to 507 of the family's 1533-position model. The record is from RNAcentral.
GACGAACGCUGGCGGCGUGCUUAACACAUGCAAGUCGAACGGAAAGGCCAGUGCUUGCACUGGUACUCGAGUGGCGAACGGGUGAGUAACACGGGGGUGAUCUGCCUUGCACUCUGGGAUAAGCUUGGGAAACUGGGUCUAAUACCGGAGAUGAACUGCCUUUAGUGUGGUGGUUGGAAAGUUUUUUCGGUGCAAGAUGAGCUCGCGGCCUAUCAGCUUGUUGGUGGGGUAAUGGCCUACCAAGGCGUCGGCGGGUAGCCGGCCUGAGAGGGUGUCCGGCCACAUUGGGACUGAGAUACGGCCCGGACUACUACGGGAGGCAGCAGUGGGGAAUAUUGCCCGAUGGGCGGAAGCCUGGUGCAGCGACGCCGCGUGGGGGAUGACGGCCUUCGGGUUGUAAGCUCCUUUCGACAGGGACGAAGCGUAAGUGACGGUACCUGUAUAAGAAGCACCGGCUAACUACGUG